CCUUGGGUUCGAUUCCGGAGAGGGAGCCCGAGAAACGGCUACCACAUCUAAGGAAGGCAGCAGGCGCGCAAAUUACCCAAUCCCGACACGGGGAGGUAGUGACAAGAAAUAACAAAGCGAGCCUCUAUGAGGUUUUGCUAUUGGAAUGAGUAGAAUUUAAAUCUCUUUACGACUAUCAAUUGGAGGGCAAGUCUGGUGCCAGCAGCCGCGGUAAUUCCAGCUCCAAUAGCGUAUAUUAAAGUUGUUGCGGUUAAAAAGCUCGUAGUUGGAUUUCUGCCGAGCGUCUGCCGGUUCGUACCAUGUACGAUAUCUGGUUUGAUCUUGGCAUCCUCUUGAAGUACGUGUGUGUCCUUAAUUGGGUGUACAUGGAAUUCAAGACUUUUACUUUGAGGAAAUUGGAGUGUUUACGGCAAGCAAAUGCUUUGAACACAUUAGCAUGGAAUAAUAAUAUAGGACCUUGGGGCUAUUUUAUUGGUUUCUAGAACUAAGGUAAUGAUUAAUAGGGUCAGUUGGGGGCAUUCGUAUUAACGUGUCAGAGGUGGAAUUCUUGGAUUACGUUACGACGAACUACUGCGAAAGCAUUUGCCAAGGAUGUUUUCAUUGAUCAAGAACGAAAGUAUGGGGAUCGAAGAUGAUUAGAUACCGUCGUAGUCUAUACCAUAAACUAUGCCAACUAGAGAUGGGAGGUCGGUCUUUUUAUGACUCCUUCUGCACCUUAUGAGAAAUCCAAGUUUUUGGGUUCCGGGGGGAGUAUGGUCGCAAGGCUGAAACUUAAAGGAAUUGACGGAAGGGCACCACCAGGAGUGGAGCCUGCGGCUUAAUUUGA
RNAcentral lists this ribosomal RNA (826 nucleotides) under uncultured eukaryote. RNAcentral describes it as "SSU rRNA". It matches the Rfam family "Eukaryotic small subunit ribosomal RNA", at positions 369 to 1198 of the family's 1831-position model. The record is from RNAcentral.